GACGGACGCUGGCGGCGUGCUUAACACAUGCAAGUCGAAGCAACGAAUACGGAAUAGUAAUAGGAAUGUAUUUUAGUGGCGGACGGGUGAGUAACACGUGGGUAACCUGCCCUGUGGAGGGGGAUAACACAGAGAAAUCUGUGCUAAUACCGCAUAACAUAACUGAAUCGCAUGGUUUAGUUAUCAAAGAUUUAUUACCAUAGGAUGGACCCGCGGCCCAUUAGCUAGUUGGUGAGGUAACGGCUCACCAAGGCGACGAUGGGUAGCCGACCUGAGAGGGUGAACGGCCACAUUGGAACUGAGACACGGUCCAGACUCCUACGGGAGGCGGCAGUGGGGAAUAUUGCACAAUGGGGGAAACCCUGAUGCAGCAACGCCGCGUGAGCGACGAAGGCCUUCGGGUCGUAAAGCUCUGUCUUAGCUGACGAUAAUGACGGUAAGCUAGGAGGAAGCCACGGCUAACUACGUGCCAGCAGCCGCGGUAAUACGUANGUGGCGAGCGUUGUCCGGAUUUACUGGGCGUAAAGGGAGCGUAGGCGGUUUUUUAAGUGGGGUGUGAAAUCCCUGGGCUUAACCCAGGAAUUGCAUUCCAAACUGGAAGACUAGAGUGCAGGAGAGGAAAGUGGAAUUCCAAGUGUAGCGGUGAAUGCGUAAAGAUUGGAGGACCCCAGUUGGCGAAGCCACUUCUGACUGGUACCUGACGCUGAGCUCAGAGCGUGGGACACUGAUAAUCCUGGGUA
Molecule: ribosomal RNA, 740 nt
Filed under: uncultured Clostridiaceae bacterium
Lineage: Bacteria; Bacillati; Bacillota; Clostridia; Eubacteriales; Clostridiaceae
Description: bacterial SSU rRNA
Rfam family: Bacterial small subunit ribosomal RNA
Source: RNAcentral